Long non-coding RNA from Triplophysa rosa, 463 nucleotides. RefSeq lists it as uncharacterized. Lineage: Eukaryota; Metazoa; Chordata; Actinopteri; Cypriniformes; Nemacheilidae. The transcript has 2 exons. The record is from RefSeq and is a predicted model, not a curated record.
AGGGUCACAAAUAGUAUUGUUUCACUUUAUUCAUUGUUGGUUUGAGUGUUUUAUAACUCUGAUGUUCUGGUUUAAUCUCAGUUUCCUCGACAAGGCAUGCAGCAGACGCAGCAACAGCAGCAGACGGCAGCUCUGGUCCGACAGCUCCAGCAGCAGCUCUCAAACACUCAACCUGGACAGAACACCAACCCAUAUUACUGAGUAUGUGAAAGCGUUUCAUAGGUGGUGAAGAAAAUGUAGAUGAUAUAAGGAGGACCGUUUGAGACGUGACGAACCGCACUGGGUUGUCUCUGAAGUAGAAUGUUUUUCAGACACCCAUAGAAGGUUUUGUUGAUCGAAGCGGUGGAAGAGCUUAUGUAAAAAGAAGUACAGGAAAUUAUAAGAAUAUUGCAACCUUUUAUUUUAUUUCGAUUUGUACAAUUUUUCAGUUUCGUGUAUUUCUCAUUAAAAAAAAUCAUGUCAA